CAUUCCUAUGCUUCCCCUGCACAACCCCAGAAAUGAUUCUCAUAAAGUGUGUUAUAAUCCCCACCGCAGACAGGCCUUUUGGAGGGAGUCAAGCUGCUGUGGGGCAGCAUGUUACAGAUGAGUUCAUGAGAAACACCCAUGCAUGUGCGCUGAGCACACCGUGUCUCUUCAUGCUAUUACACGCUCGUAUUAGAGGCUCGCCGUUCACAAGGGCUCAAGAGAUCCUCCCACCUCAGCCUCCUUAGUAGCUGGGACAGAAGGCGUAUACCACCAUGUCUGGCUAAUUUUUAAAAUUUUUUGUAAAGAUGGGAAUUUCACUGUGUUGCCAAGG
RNAcentral lists this long non-coding RNA (331 nucleotides) under Pan troglodytes (chimpanzee). Its description in RNAcentral is "long non-coding RNA NONPTRT001994". Lineage: Eukaryota; Metazoa; Chordata; Mammalia; Primates; Hominidae. The record is from RNAcentral.